This is a long non-coding RNA of Felis catus (domestic cat), 5630 nucleotides long. RefSeq lists it as uncharacterized. Lineage: Eukaryota; Metazoa; Chordata; Mammalia; Carnivora; Felidae. The record is from RefSeq and is a predicted model, not a curated record. The transcript is spliced from 5 exons.
AGAGCCGGAUGCAGGGCUCGAACUCACAAGCCACGAGAUCAUGACCUGAGUUGAAGUCAGACACUCAACCGACUGAGCCACCCAGGUGCCCCUAAUCACCACAUUUUGAUGAUGUGGUGGACAGCUGCUGAUUUGAAUGCCUACCAUCCUUCCUUCCUUCAUUUAUUUGUUUAUUUAUUUGUUUAUUUAUUUUCUGGUAAGAGCAACUGUAUUUUCCUUUGGUAAAACUCUCCUACUCAACUGCAUGGUGGGACUUACUGAGAAUUCAUGAGAGUUUUGCCACUUCGAGCAAUGGCAGUGAGAUCCGAGCUUGGCUCAUCAAACCAUCUCCCUACAAUUGGAUUAUGAGCAGGGGGACACAAGGGUCAAAAAUGUUGGAAUUCACCCUUCCCACUACUGGAGAAAGUUUCUAUGACUUCUUGCUACACAGACUGCCCUUGAGCUGUUUCAGGCCAGUACCUUCCAAGAACUGAUUCUUCAGCUUUUCCUUACAUUUUUCCAGUGUGUGUGUGUGUGUGUGUGUGUGUGUGUGUGUGUGUGUGUGGCUGUUAUGACAUGGUCAGAGUCAAUUGCUGUUAUCUGCCACUUAAGAACCAUGACUGACACUGAAGGGGGUUGUGAUUGGUUCUCUCAGAUAAUCAGAUCUCAUGACUCUGCACCAAACAUGAUGGGUUUAGUUCUUUUUGAGUCAGGCUAGAUUUGCUCUGCCCAUGACUGCACAGCAUCCUUGCUUACAAAAGAGUUUCAGAUGAACGCUUCCCAGUGGAUUGGCAAGUCUAUUGCUUAUAUGAUAAAGGCAAAAAUGCAAGUGGAAAUCCCACUGAUGGCAGGUGAACAGUGCCGCAUCUCUUUCUGAAAGAGACAUUUUGUAGACUUUCUGCAGUGCUUAAACUAUUCAAUUUCUCCAACCCCCCUAAGAGAAGAUGGAUUAAAAAGAAGAAACAGGUGUAUAUAAUUUGGAUGGACAGGCCGAAUGAUGGGGGAAGCAGGAAGGGAGAGAGUAUAAUUUGUAAUUAUCUCUCAUCUGCCCGUGAACAGCUUAUUCCUCAGGAAAGAGUCUCGUAACUGCCAGUGGUUGACCACACAUCGCUGAGGCAAGAUCUUUUCUGUGAGAUGUGACCGUCGGAUUGGCAGACCAGAGCAGCCCUUAAUGGGAGGGUAGACAGCUUAUGCUGGAUGUUGAGUAAAAUACUCUUGUUUCCCAUCCUGGUGCUCAAAUAAGAAAAGCUGUGUAUCUUCGGACAGCUGAUUUACUUUCUCUGGCUGUUAGUUAUCUGUAGGACUCGAGGGUUAACCCAAAUUCUCUCUGAAGUGUUUUUCCUAGCUUUAAAACUGCUGAUUUUUGUGUGUCUAAGUAAUUCCAGCAACUUUCAAUUCAUUCAGUAUAAUGUUGCAUUAUGAUUAUUAAUAUUUCAUUAAAUUACUCCUUUAGUUGGACUUGAAAACAUUGGAUGUAUUUUAUGUGUGAGUUAGAGUCUGCAGACUAUCUUCCCUUUUUAUAGAUUUCCCUUCACUGAAAUUCAGUAUACAUUUUUGUUUUACAAAUAUUUCUUGGACACACUUAUGCUCUGAAGUGUAAUAUAUCAUAAUGCUGAUUUACACUCAUGAAUACUCAAUGAAUGUCAACUGAUGCACUCAUUUGGAGAAUUUAUAGCUGAAUAAGGGUCAUCAUUUGUUUCAAAUUUGCUCUAACAGACAUAAAAAUUCUUAUCAGUACAAGUAUAAAUAACUAGAGUAUAACUAACUAGAACAGUAGUGGCAUGCAAUCUUUAUUUUUGGUAUUCAAUAUUUAUUUUUAUUUUCUUUAAAAUACACACAUAGUACUUUAGGGGAGAAGAUACAUUACCCUUUGUCACCCAUCCUAAUGAGAUGUUUACUUAGUUUUCUCUCUCUUCCACUUUCUCUAAACUCUCUGUGACUUAAGACUCAGCCAGGUGAAAACAAACAUAUGGCUACCACAUGGGGGACAAUGUAAAGUGUGUGCAAGCCCUAUAGGAGACAAUCUAGCCACACAUUGUGCUCUCUGUUCAAUGACAAAACUAUUUAUUAUUCACAAAAUGGGAGAAACCACACUUCUUUCUAUACACUGAAAUAAUAACAAUAAUGACAAUCACAACAACAAUAACAACAACAACAAUGGUAGCUACAUCAAAAUACCUUUAGCAUUUUAGUUUUGCUAAGAGCCAUAUCUGAUUCCACUUUGACCUUGGUACUUUCUUUUCGUAGACAGUUCUGCAUAUGGCAUAUACCAUAUGCAGAAGAAUGUUGAAAUGAUACUAAUCCUCUUUUUCUAUUCUAGGCUAUCAAAGUCAAGAAUUUAUUUUUUUAAGAUUUCAUUUUUAAGUAAUCUCUACAAACAACAUGGGGCUCAAACUUACAACCCUUCAAUCAAGAAUCGCUUGUUCUGCAAUCAAGUCACUUGCUCUACUGAAUGAGCCAGCCAGAUUUAGGGAGCAGAGUAACAAGAGACUGCAGAAGAGGUGUGAUGGAUGUAAAUAAGAGAAAGAAAAUAUCAGGAAAUACCCAGAAUGAUUCUAUAUAGGCCAUUUUAGGAAAUAGUUUUAUAGGAGAAACUUAAAUGGACACAGGCGUGCUACACUUUCCUCAGCACAUGGUAGUAACCUGUCUGACCCAAGCAAAGAAGAAAACCAGGUUGGCGUGUGAUGCCUGGUGGUGGGGCAAACCCAAGGUGGAGGGCAGAGCUGGAGUGAGCACAGCAGAACAGAAGGUGGUGAAUUCCCUUUCUUGGAGUAGCUUGUGUGAAGAAAACAGGUGGACAGCCUGGUGAGAGGGAAUGCCAGAUCCCAUCCUUCCCCACGGCUAAGCCGCCCUCAGGCCAGCCCUGGCUGGGAGCCCACCACUUCCUCCAUGUCCAUAAAGAGCUCCAGAGACAUGCAGGAAAAGCCUCUCUCCUGCAUCUGCUUGGACACACCAGCUCUCUAACCACAGAGAGGCCACUUACAGACACUUCCUCCAGAUACCUGGCUCAGCUGGUCUUGAACACGCCUGCCAAGGAGUGACUCGGGCAGCCAGUAACCACAUGAAAAACCUUGCCUGUUGUUUUGACACUCGUGGCUCUUGGGAAGAUGGCAACUGUUGGAAAGGAUUGUAUGCACUUCUGAGAUUUUAUGUACCUAAUCUUUUAAAAAUAGGCCCUGGGUUUGCUAAAGCGGAUAAUGUCACCUAGUUUGAACUUGAUGAAAGCAUAGAAAAGCAAUUUAAACACUUGUAUGGUUCUCCAAGCAUAAGCACAUGGACAGAUUUUUGAGAGGAUCUGCUGAAACCUCCUGAAAUUUGUAUUUCAUCACAGAUAAAUGUGCAUUGUUGUUUCAAGAACUUGAUUAUUAGAUCAUCAGGGCUGUAACUAACAACAAGAGUUUUACCUGCGCUUAAAAGUGAAAUAAAUAAAUUAAUAAGUAGGCAAAAAUGCCUUAAUAGUAAUAAGAUCUCUCAGAAAAUGGAUAUUGUGGUAUUGUGUACUCAAACUAGUAAUACAAGUAUACUUUUUAUCAUAAGAAUUCAUAGUCCUUUCUGGAUUUUUAUGAGGUGCCCUAUACAGGUAAUUUGCUUUGCAAUCUCUUUCUGCCCUAAAUUGAAAAAAUUAGGAAUUAGGAAAGCAGGUACUGAUGCGAUUAAUAGAAAAUAGCAUCUAUGGUUCAAUUUCAUAGAAUAAUUUAUGCAGUUAAGGGGAAGUGAGGGGUAUUGGAGACAGCAAUGUCGAGAAGUCAGACACAGCUGGUGCCAUUUCUGCCUCUGCUGCUAAUUGCUGUGUACUUUGGGACAGUUACUUAACAUCUCUGAGCCUUUCAGUCUUGUCUUCUAUAAAAUGGAGACAAUAAAAACUACUUUGGAAGAUAAUCGAGGGGACAGUGACACAUAGCAGCCACUCCUUAAGGGCAUUGUUUAUUAUCAUUAAUAACAGGGAAGAUAAUUGUCAACCAAGAGCCAAAUGUACUUUCUUUGAGUGUUAAAUAAUUAGAUUCCUAAACUGGAGUUGGUUCCAGUUGCUAUAAUUGAAAUUAAGCCAUCACGACUUUGGAUUACAGACAUUUCUUUAUAUCCAGUAGGACACAAAUAGUUGGGAAUUUCUAGGUAAUUUUAUAAUAUGAAAUCAGUGCGUGGUGUGUGGAAAUAUUACCCCCAGAGUUGGACACAUUGUGGGUCCCUGAGCAAGUCUUUCAGCUACACUCUGCCACAGUGUUAUUAUUUCUCAAAUGUUGGAGAUGGGGAGCUACUUUCAGGCUAAAAUUAAAAGACAUCAUGGUUUUGUUUUGGAAAAAUCGAUUCAUCAAUAUGUUUUUUUUCCAUGGCUAUAAAAAGUAUUUGAAAACGAAACAAAAUAAAGUAGUAAAAAAUCUUGGUAUGUAUUUUUUCCUUGGAUAAUGAGGCUCUCAUUCAAGUGCUCUUGGAAAAGAUUAUUUUGUGCUCUGGUCAAGGUGGCCUACUUUUUUUGUGUGUUGAAGGGCUUUGCAAUUAGAAGUUAUUUGUAUUUUCCCAGGGAGUGUCCACUUUGGGAAGAAAGAAAAUUAUAUGCCUGAAGAAUAUGGUUGGCCAAUUUAUUGUUGUUUAUGUCUGUGCUAGACCUAAAAGGAAAUACAUAGAAUUCAAGUUUCUUUCUUUCUUUCUUUCUUUCUUUCUUUUUUUUUUUUUUGGCAUGGGAAAGGGUGGUACAAAUAUAGUGUCACAUUUUGUUUUAUGGUAGAAUAUGACUUCCCCUGUUUUAACGUGUUUAGAGGUGAGUUCUUUGAACUCACAGUCUAAACCAAGCCACACAUGUGUGUGUAAGAAAUGGGAGGGAGAAUGAAUCAGAAGUGCUUCGGUACAGGAAGGUUUUAAUAAGUAUGUUCUCCCUCUUCUGAAAGAUUGCUUAAAUACAUUUUAAUUUGUCUAAUGUGUUCAUUUUGGGGGGGGGGGAAUUGUCAAUACAAAUAAAUUCUUCCCUCUGAAAUUAUUUUUUACUCAUAGGGACUUCUUUCUGUGCCCUGUACUGGAAAAUCAGUUAUCUCGGCCACCUGGUACAUUAUAUAGCACAGGACUGUCAUCAAGAAGAAGGUGUGACUGCAAUUAUCCUGAGAUCGAAAGGCGUUUGCAACGGACACAUGAAAUAAAUUGAUUUGUAAAGUACAGGUAGUAGAGUCCACGAGGAAUCUGUUGUGGACAGGAUUUUUUCAUUCAUUAGUGCUAGGUGCCCUCUCCUGGUCAGUGAGAGUAAUGUUCAGGAGCUAAUUUCUAGAUUCUGCUUUGCUAGGCAGCAUGAGGUGCCUCCGCACAGGUACUCCAUGCCGGGCUUCCUAUGUGAGGAAAGAAACCUGAAGGUAAGUGACCUCAUUCCGUUCCACGUCCUCGCCCUUUUGAUCAUCAGACGGUGUUUGCUUAGCUGUGUGUGGUAGGGUAAUAUUUUCGUUUGUUACCUGCUAAUCUCUUCUCUUUUUCUCAUGACUUCACCAUCAAUCGGAGAGCAUCCCGAAUAUGGCCUGUUUGUACGUGACAAGAAUGACAGGUGGAACAGGAAGCCAGCCUUGGGCAGUGAACACCUUCCCCACUGUCGCUGAUACCACCACCUUUGUAUAAUAAGCCUCAGGAGCUUCAAACCCGGGGGGGGGGGGGGCAGUGAGGGGGGCAUUCCAAUG